This 253-nucleotide ribosomal RNA is filed under the name uncultured bacterium. RNAcentral describes it as "partial 16S ribosomal RNA". It matches the Rfam family "Bacterial small subunit ribosomal RNA", at positions 524 to 776 of the family's 1533-position model. The record is from RNAcentral.
UACGGGGGGGGCAAGCGUUGUUCGGAAUUACUGGGCGUAAAGGGCUCGUAGGCGGCCAACUAAGUCAGACGUGAAAUCCCUCGGCUUAACCGGGGAACUGCCUCUGAUACUGGAUGGCUUGAGAUUGGGAGAGGGAUGCGGAAUUCCAGGUGUAGCGGUGAAAUGCGUAGAUAUCUGGAGGAACACCGGUGGCGAAGGCGGCACCCUGGACCAACACUGACGCUGAGGAGCGAAAGCCAGGGGAGCAAACGGG